This 1065-nucleotide long non-coding RNA is filed under the name Crocodylus porosus (Australian saltwater crocodile). RNAcentral describes it as "lncRNA (ENSCPRG00005011101.1)". Lineage: Eukaryota; Metazoa; Chordata; Crocodylia; Crocodylidae. The record is from RNAcentral.
CUACAGAAACGUGUGCCUUAACCAGUAGUCCCGUGGGCCACUAGCCUGGGGUUGGCCUUUGACCUGAUAUGGGCUAUACUGGCUGCAGCCCUUGGAGGGAGACGUGAUCCCAUCACUCGCCUUGGCCUUUCUUGGGAACUGAGGCCUUGACUCCUUGUGUGACUCUUGCCAAAUUGCUUUGAACUGCCUGGUGUGCUUGGUAUGGCCAGCACUGAAAGCUCAAAAAUGAUGUGCCAAGCCCCAAAUCAUGAGGACCGUGUUAAUCAUUGUGCUCUCUGGUUUGCCCCUUUGCUCUGUGAAACCCUCUGCCCCACCCAGUGCAUGUGAGGAGCAGUCUGUAUAAUGCCACAUGCUCCUACGGGCAGUGUGGAAGGAAGUUUUGGCCCUGCGGUGUUGUAGGAGCUUCUGCUCUCACAUCUGUCCAGCAGUCAGUAUUGCCCCUGACCUUCAAACCAACCCUGUCUCCUCACAUAUCAGCUCUUCCCAUCUCCACCACCCCAUUAAUAUAGCUCCUGCUCAUAGAGUCAUAGGGGCAGAAGGGACCUCUCAGGUCACUGGGCCAACCCCUUGGAGAUGCAGAAUAUGCUACUGCUAAGCUACCUUAACCAAUGCUACUCCAGCCUGUUCUUGAAAAUCCUGCCCAGUGAAGGAGAAUCCUCAGCUCCCCAUUCUGACACCUGGAACUGAUGCCAGCAUGGAGCUACCCCAGCUACCUCUGCCAGCUUCACCCAUCCAGACCCUCUCCACCGCCACUAGACCAGGCCUCAGAGAGUUGUCUUGGACCCGGAAGCAUGUAACCUGCAUCCCCUGGAGCUGGGAGAGGUGUGACGCUGCUCCACCACAGGUGUCCGACUUGCAUGUGAGCAUGUGCAGAACAGGUAAUUGGCCAUGCCCAGCCCCUCCCUGCAGCCCAGGGGUUACUUUUCUCAUGCCUGCAGAUGCUAGUUUGUAUAUGCCACUGGGAGUUGGCACUGGAGUCUCUCACAUUACUGAUGGCAGAGGAAUGAGCUGAGGAAUGUGUCCCUGUCCCAUGUCUCUCUGCAAGGUGCUUUUUCUGGUUUCCUC